Molecule: ribosomal RNA, 1432 nt
Filed under: uncultured organism
Description: SSU rRNA
Rfam family: Bacterial small subunit ribosomal RNA
Source: RNAcentral
GGCGGCGUGGAUAAGACAUGCAAGUCGAACGGGAGAAUUGCUAGCUUGCUAAUAAUUCUCUAGUGGCGCACGGGUGAGUAACACGUGAGUAACCUGCCUCUUAGUGGGGGAUAGCCCUGGGAAACCGGGAUUAAUACCGCAUACGAUUGAAAGAUCAAAGCAGCAAUGCGCUAGGAGAUGGGCUCGCGGCCUAUUAGUUAGUUGGUGAGGUAACGGCUCACCAAGGCGAUGACGGGUAGCCGGUCUGAGAGGAUGUCCGGCCACACUGGAACUGAGACACGGUCCAGACACCUACGGGUGGCAGCAGUCGAGAAUCAUUCACAAUGGGGGCAACCCUGAUGGUGCGACGCCGCGUGGGGGAAUGAAGGUCUUCGGAUUGUAAACCCCUGUCAUGUGGGAGCAAAUUAAAAAGAUAGUACCACAAGAGGAAGAGACGGCUAACUCUGUGCCAGCAGCCGCGGUAAUACAGAGGUCUCAAGCGUUGUUCGGAAUCACUGGGCGUAAAGCGUGCGUAGGCUGUUUCGUAAGUCGUGUGUGAAAGGCAGGGGCUCAACCCCUGGAUUGCACAUGAUACUGCGAGACUAGAGUAAUGGAGGGGGAACCGGAAUUCUCGGUGUAGCAGUGAAAUGCGUAGAUAUCGAGAGGAACACUCGUGGCGAAGGCGGGUUCCUGGACAUUAACUGACGCUGAGGCACGAAGGCCAGGGGAGCGAAAGGGAUUAGAUACCCCUGUAGUCCUGGCAGUAAACGGUGCACGCUUGGUGUGCGGGGAAUCGACCCCCUGCGUGCCGGAGCUAACGCGUUAAGCGUGCCGCCUGGGGAGUACGGUCGCAAGAUUAAAACUCAAAGAAAUUGACGGGGACCCGCACAAGCGGUGGAGUAUGUGGCUUAAUUCGAUGCAACGCGAAGAACCUUACCUGGGCUUGACAUGUAAUGAACAACAUGUGAAAGCAUGCGACUCUUCGGAGGCGUUACACAGGUGCUGCAUGGCCGUCGUCAGCUCGUGUCGUGAGAUGUUUGGUUAAGUCCAGCAACGAGCGCAACCCCUGUUGCCAGUUACCAGCACGUCAAGGUGGGGACUCUGGCGAGACUGCCCAGAUCAACUGGGAGGAAGGUGGGGACGACGUCAGGUCAGUAUGGCCCUUAUGCCCAGGGCUGCACACGUACUACAAUGCCCAGUACAGAGGGGGCCGAAGCCGCGAGGCGGAGGAAAUCCUGAAAACUGGGCCCAGUUCGGACUGUAGGCUGCAACCCGCCUACACGAAGCCGGAAUCGCUAGUAAUGGCGCAUCAGCUACGGCGCCGUGAAUACGUUCCCGGGUCUUGUACACACCGCCCGUCACAUCAUGGAAGCCGGUCGCACCCGAAGUAUCUGAAGCCAACCGCAAGGAGGCAGGGUCCUAAGGUGAGACUGGUAACUGGGAUGAAGUCGUA